AGAGUUUGAUCAUGGCUCAGGAUGAACGCUAGCUACAGGCUUAACACAUGCAAGUCGAGGGGAAACGACAUCGAAAGCUUGCUUUUGAUGGGCGUCGACCGGCGCACGGGUGAGUAACGCGUAUCCAACCUGCCCACCACUUGGGGAUAACCUUGCGAAAGUAAGACUAAUACCCAAUGACGUCUCUAGAAGACAUCUGAAGGAGAUUAAAGAUUUAUCGGUGAUGGAUGGGGAUGCGCCUGAUUAGCUUGUUGGCGGGGUAACGGCCGACCAAGGCGACGAUCAGUAGGGGUUCUGGAGAGGAAGGUCCCCCACACUUGGAACUGAGACACGGUCCAAACUCCUACGGGAGGCA
Molecule: ribosomal RNA, 355 nt
Filed under: uncultured bacterium
Lineage: Bacteria
Description: bacterial SSU rRNA
Rfam family: Bacterial small subunit ribosomal RNA
Source: RNAcentral